GACGAACGCUGGCGGCGUGCUUAACACAUGCAAGUCGAACGGAAAGGCCCUGCUUUUGUGGGGUUCUCGAGUGGCGAACGUGUGAGUAACACGUGAGUAACCUGCCCUUGACUUUGGGAUAACUUCAGGAAACUGGGGCUAAUACCGGAUAUGAUCUCCUGCUGCAUGGUGGGGGUUGGAGAGUUUCGGCGGUUGGGGAUGGACUCGCGGCUUAUCAGCUUGUUGGUGGGGUAGUGGCUUACCAAGGCUUUGACGGGUAGCCGGCCUGAGAGGGUGACCGGCGACAUUGGGACUGAGAGACGGACCAGACUCCUACGGGAGGCAGCAGUGGGGAAUAUUGCACAAUGGGCGGAAGCCUGAUGCAGAAACGCCGCGUGCGGGAUGACGGCUUUCGGGUUGUAAACCGCUUUCGACUGUGACGAAGAGUGAGUGACGGUAAUGGGUAAAGAAGCAACGGCUAACUACGUG
RNAcentral lists this ribosomal RNA (468 nucleotides) under uncultured bacterium. RNAcentral describes it as "partial 16S ribosomal RNA". It matches the Rfam family "Bacterial small subunit ribosomal RNA", at positions 28 to 507 of the family's 1533-position model. The record is from RNAcentral.